GGGCCGUUAGCUCAGUUGGUAGAGCAAUUGACUUUUAAUCAAUGGGUCGCAGGUUCGAAUCCUGCACGGCUCACCA
Molecule: transfer RNA, 76 nt
Filed under: SAR116 cluster bacterium
Lineage: Bacteria; Pseudomonadati; Pseudomonadota; Alphaproteobacteria; Puniceispirillales (SeqCode)
Description: tRNA-Lys
Rfam family: tRNA
About the family: Transfer RNA (tRNA) molecules are approximately 80 nucleotides in length. Their secondary structure includes four short double-helical elements and three loops (D, anti-codon, and T loops). Further hydrogen bonds mediate the characteristic L-shaped molecular structure. tRNAs have two regions of fundamental functional importance: the anti-codon, which is responsible for specific mRNA codon recognition, and the 3' end, to which the tRNAs corresponding amino acid is attached (by aminoacyl-tRNA synthetases). tRNAs cope with the degeneracy of the genetic code in two manners: having more than one tRNA (with a specific anti-codon) for a particular amino acid; and 'wobble' base-pairing, i.e. permitting non-standard base-pairing at the 3rd anti-codon position.
Source: RNAcentral